GUGCAGCAGGCGCGAAACCUCCGCAAUGCUCGAAAGAGCGACGGGGGGACUCCAAGUGCCUACGCUCAGCGUAGGCUGUUCCCGAGCCUAAAAAGCUCGGGGAGUAAGGGCUGGGUAAGACGGGUGCCAGCCGCCGCGGUAAUACCCGCAGCCCGAGUGGUGGCCGCUAUUAUUGGGCCUAAAGCGUCCGUAGCCGGCUCGGUAAAUGCCUGGGUAAAUCGUCUGGCCCAACCAGACGAAUUCCGGGUAGACUGCCGGGCUAGGGACCGGAGGAGGGAGAGGGGUACUUCAGGGGUAGGGGUGAAAAUUUCCUUUCCAUUAACGCUUUGCGCGAAGCGGAAAGGGUUAUCACAAUCCUGUAAUCCCUGGAGGACCACCCGUGGCGAAGGCGCUCUCCUAAGACGGGUCCGACGGUGAGGACGAAAGCCAGGGGA
RNAcentral lists this ribosomal RNA (434 nucleotides) under uncultured microorganism. RNAcentral describes it as "bacterial SSU rRNA". It matches the Rfam family "Archaeal small subunit ribosomal RNA", at positions 330 to 718 of the family's 1478-position model. The record is from RNAcentral.